CCUACGGGAGGCAGCAGUGAGGAAUAUUGGUCAAUGGCCGAGAGGCUGAACCAGCCAAGUCGCGUGAGUGAAGACGGCCCUACGGGUUGUAAACCUCUUUUGUCGGGAAGAAAAGAGAGUCACGUGUGACUCAUUGAGAGUACCCGAAGAAAAAGCAUCGGCUAACUCCGUGCCAGCAGCCGCGGUAAUACGGAGGAUGCGAGCGUUAUCCGGUUGUAUUGGGUUUAAGGGGUGCGCAGGCGGAGGUGCAAGUCAGCGGUAAAAUUGCGGGGCGCAACCCCGUACUGCCGUUGAAACUGCAUCCCUUGAGUGCGCGAGAAGUAUGCGGAAUGCGUGGUGUAGCGGUGAAAUGCAUAGAUAUCACGCAGAACUCCGAUUGCGAAGGCAGCAUACCGGCGCGCAACUGACGCUCAUGCACGAAAGCGUGGGUAUCGAACAGGAUUAGAUACCCUUGUAGUC
Molecule: ribosomal RNA, 459 nt
Filed under: uncultured bacterium
Lineage: Bacteria
Description: partial 16S ribosomal RNA
Rfam family: Bacterial small subunit ribosomal RNA
Source: RNAcentral